GAUGGGAUGACUGAGACGCUAGGUGAUAGAUUGUAAAUUUAUUUAGGAGGGUUACCUCUUCCAUUA
This 66-nucleotide transfer RNA is filed under the name Grylloblatta sculleni. RNAcentral's name for it is "tRNA-Tyr". The record is from RNAcentral. Lineage: Eukaryota; Metazoa; Arthropoda; Insecta; Grylloblattodea; Grylloblattidae.